UAAGAUGAUCUUGUAAGUGUUAGAUUAUCGCUCAUAAAAAAGGCUAUAUAAGGUUAACAUAUACAUCCCCGCAAAAAAAAGGUUAACCUAUACAUGCUAUUUAUCUCUUAUAAUAUCUAUCUUUGCAAAGGAAAAAAAAUGUAGAAUAAAACCAAAUAUCAUCUAUGGAAUAAAAACUUAGUACCGUUAUCUAAAAUAGUACAUCAUAAAUCAUCUAUCCUAUCAUCAGUAUGCAGUAUGCAGUAUAUCAUUUGUCAUAGCUGGAAAGAGACCAUGCAUCAUAACCAAUAUGGAGAAAGUAAGGAAGGG
RNAcentral lists this long non-coding RNA (309 nucleotides) under Triticum aestivum (bread wheat). RNAcentral's name for it is "long non-coding RNA (TAES_LNC000517)". Lineage: Eukaryota; Viridiplantae; Streptophyta; Magnoliopsida; Poales; Poaceae. The record is from RNAcentral.